ACUCCUACGGGAGGCAGCAGUGGGGAAUUUUGCACAAUGGGGGAAACCCUGAUGCAGCGACGCCGCGUGAUUUAGAAGGCCUUCGGGUUGUAAAAUCUUUGUAUAGGAAGAAAUGACAGUACUAUACGAAUAAGGUCCGGCUAAUUACGUGCCAGCAGCCGCGGUAAUACGUAAGGACCGAGCGUUGUCCGGAAUCAUUGGGCGUAAAGGGUACGUAGGCGGCUAGAAAAGUUAGAAGUCAAAGGCUAUAGCUCAACUAUAGUAAGCUUCUAAAACUAUUUAGCUUGAGAAAUGGAAGGGAAAGUGGAUUCCUAGUGUAGCGGUGGAAUGCGCAGAUAUUAGGAAGAAUACCGGUGGCGAAGGCGACUUUCUGGCCAUUAUCUGACGCUGAGGUACGAAAGCGUGGGUAGCAAACAGGAUUAGAUACCCUGGUAGGAUAGCG
RNAcentral lists this ribosomal RNA (442 nucleotides) under uncultured bacterium. Its description in RNAcentral is "bacterial SSU rRNA". It matches the Rfam family "Bacterial small subunit ribosomal RNA", at positions 335 to 799 of the family's 1533-position model. The record is from RNAcentral.